GGUGAACGCUGGCGGCGUGCCUAACACAUGCAAGUCGAGCGGUGCAGUUUGAAGCUUCGGUGGAAAGCUGCAUAGCGGCGGACGGGUGAGGAAAACGUAGGAACGUGCCCCUUGGAGUUGGAUAGCCACGGGAAACUGUGGGUAAACCGACAUAGACUCGAGAGAGUAAAGGCCGAAAGGCGCCAAGGGAGCGGCCUGCGGCCCAUCAGGUAGUUGGUAGUGUAAAGGACUACCAAGCCGACGACGGGUAGCCGGUCUGAGAGGAUGGCCGGCCACAAGGGCACUGAGAGACGGGCCCUACUCCUACGGGAGGCAGCAGUGGGGGAUUUUGGACAAUGGGCGAAAGCCUGAUCCAGCGACGCCGCGUGGUAGGACGAAGCCCUUCGGGGUGUAAACUCCUUUUCUCAGGGAAAAAGGAUGAUGGUACCUGAGGAAUAAGCCCCGGCUAACUACGUG
RNAcentral lists this ribosomal RNA (456 nucleotides) under uncultured bacterium. Its description in RNAcentral is "bacterial SSU rRNA". It matches the Rfam family "Bacterial small subunit ribosomal RNA", at positions 28 to 507 of the family's 1533-position model. The record is from RNAcentral.